Molecule: ribosomal RNA, 407 nt
Filed under: uncultured bacterium
Lineage: Bacteria
Description: partial 16S ribosomal RNA
Rfam family: Bacterial small subunit ribosomal RNA
Source: RNAcentral
GACGAACGCUGGCGGCGUGCCUAAUACAUGCAAGUAGGACGCAGUUGCGAGCGGGAGAGUAACGCGUAGGUCACUGCCUAUGAGAGGGGGAUAACAAUUGGAACCGAUAGCUAAUAACGCAUACUAGAAGAUGGACCUGCGUUGUAUUAGCUAGUAGGUAGGGGAAUGGCCUCGCUAGGCGACGAUACGUAGCCGACCUGAGAUGGUGAACGGCCACACUGGGACUGAGACACGGCCCAGACUCCUACGGGAGGCAGCAGUAGGGAAUCUUCGGCAAUGGGGGGAACCCUGACCAAGCAACGCCGCGGGAGUGAAGAAGGUUUUCGGAUCGUAAAGCUCUGUUGGUAAGGAAGCGGUACUUAACCAGAAAGCGACGGCUAACUACGUGCCAGCCGCCGCGGUAAUUC